CAGCCGUAAACGAUGCGCGUUAGGUGUAUCGACGACCACGAGUCGUCGAGGUGCCGAAGGGAAACCGUGAAACGUGCCGCCUGGGAAGUACGGUCGCAAGGCUGAAACUUAAAGGAAUUGGCGGGGGCGCACCACAACAGGUGGAGCCUGCGGUUUAAUUGGACUCAACGCCGGGAAGCUCACCGGAUAAGACAGCGGAAUGAUUGCCGGGCUGAAGACUCUGCAUGACUAGCUGAGAGGAGGUGCAUGGCGUAGACGUCU
RNAcentral lists this ribosomal RNA (261 nucleotides) under uncultured archaeon. Its description in RNAcentral is "partial 16S ribosomal RNA". It matches the Rfam family "Archaeal small subunit ribosomal RNA", at positions 748 to 1009 of the family's 1478-position model. The record is from RNAcentral.